This 481-nucleotide ribosomal RNA is filed under the name uncultured bacterium. RNAcentral's name for it is "partial 16S ribosomal RNA". It matches the Rfam family "Bacterial small subunit ribosomal RNA", at positions 28 to 507 of the family's 1533-position model. The record is from RNAcentral.
GAUGAACGCUGGCGGCGUGCUUAACACAUGCAAGUCGAACGAAGCACUUUAUUUGAUUUCCUUCGGGACUGAUUAUUUUGUGACUGAGUGGCGGACGGGUGAGUAACGCGUGGGUAACCUGCCUUGUACAGGGGGAUAACAGUUGGAAACGGCUGCUAAUACCGCAUAAGCGCACAGCAUCGCAUGAUGCAGUGUGAAAAACUCCGGUGGUAUAAGGUGGACCCGCGUUGGAUUAGCUAGUUGGUGAGGUAACGGCCCACCAAGGCGACGAUCCAUAGCCGACCUGAGAGGGUGACCGGCCACAUUGGGACUGAGACACGGCCCAAACUCCUACGGGAGGCAGCAGUGGGGAAUAUUGCACAAUGGGCGAAAGCCUGAUGCAGCGACGCCGCGUGAGCGAAGAAGUAUUUCGGUAUGUAAAGCUCUAUCAGCAGGGAAGAUAAUGACGGUACCUGACUAAGAAGCACCGGCUAAAUACGUG